RNAcentral lists this ribosomal RNA (584 nucleotides) under uncultured bacterium. RNAcentral describes it as "bacterial SSU rRNA". It matches the Rfam family "Bacterial small subunit ribosomal RNA", at positions 337 to 911 of the family's 1533-position model. The record is from RNAcentral.
UCCUACGGGAGGCAGCAGUAGGGAAUCUUCCGCAAUGGACGAAAGUCUGACGGAGCAACGCCGCGUGAGUGAUGAAGGCUUUCGGGUCGUAAAACUCUGUUGUUAGGGAAGAACAAGUGCUAGUUGAAUAAGCUGGCACCUUGACGGUACCUAACCAGAAAGCCACGGCUAACUACGUGCCAGCAGCCGCGGUAAUACGUAGGUGGCAAGCGUUAUCCGGAAUUAUUGGGCGUAAAGCGCGCGCAGGUGGUUUCUUAAGUCUGAUGUGAAAGCCCACGGCUCAACCGUGGAGGGUCAUUGGAAACUGGGAGACUUGAGUGCAGAAGAGGAAAGUGGAAUUCCAUGUGUAGCGGUGAAAUGCGUAGAGAUAUGGAGGAACACCAGUGGCGAAGGCGACUUUCUGGUCUGUAACUGACACUGAGGCGCGAAAGCGUGGGGAGCAAACAGGAUUAGAUACCCUGGUAGUCCACGCCGUAAACGAUGAGUGCUAAGUGUUAGAGGGUUUCCGCCCUUUAGUGCUGGAGUUAACGCAUUAAGCACUCCGCCUGGGGAGUACGGCCGCAAGGCUGAAACUCAAAGGAAUU